GUGUGUAAUUUAAAAAAAAUAUCAAGUUGUGACCCUGAAAAUAGAUGCCACUCGCACACC
This 60-nucleotide transfer RNA is filed under the name Gloydius ussuriensis (Ussuri mamushi). RNAcentral's name for it is "tRNA-His". The record is from RNAcentral. Lineage: Eukaryota; Metazoa; Chordata; Lepidosauria; Squamata; Viperidae. RNAcentral also lists the same sequence under 1 other name.